Molecule: non-coding RNA, 87 nt
Organism: Pelobates cultripes (western spadefoot toad)
Lineage: Eukaryota; Metazoa; Chordata; Amphibia; Anura; Pelobatidae
Source: the annotation of a GenBank genome assembly
GAUUUGAAUCUUAUCAGUCUUCUUUUAUUCCAUAACCCAGUCGGGUUAUGGGUUAUGGAAUAAAAGAAGAUUGAUAAGAUUCAAAUC